AUUGAACGCUAGCGGCAUGCUUAACACAUGCAAGUCGAACGGUAGCAGAACUAGCUUGCUAGUUGCUGACGAGUGGCGGACGGGUGAGUAAUGCGUAGGAAUCUGCCUCAUAGUGGGGGAUAACCCGGGGAAACUCGGGCUAAUACCGCAUAAUGUCUAUGGACCAAAGUGGGGGACCUUCGGGCCUCACGCUGUGAGAUGAGCCUACGUCGGAUUAGCUUGUUGGUGGGGUAAAGGCCUACCAAGGCGACGAUCCGUAGCUGGUCUGAGAGGACGAUCAGCCACACUGGGACUGAGACACGGCCCAGACUCCUACGGGAGGCAGCAGUGGGGAAUAUUGGACAAUGGGCGAAAGCCUGAUCCAGCAAUGCCGCGUGUGUGAAGAAGGCCUUCGGGUUGUAAAGCACUUUCAGUGGGGAAGAAAAGUUCAUGGGUAAUAUCCAUGAGUAUUGACGUUACCUACAGAAGAAGCACUGGCUAACUCUGUGCCAGCCGCCGCCGUAA
RNAcentral lists this ribosomal RNA (504 nucleotides) under uncultured bacterium. RNAcentral describes it as "bacterial SSU rRNA". It matches the Rfam family "Bacterial small subunit ribosomal RNA", at positions 30 to 523 of the family's 1533-position model. The record is from RNAcentral.